Molecule: ribosomal RNA, 729 nt
Filed under: uncultured eukaryote
Lineage: Eukaryota
Description: SSU rRNA
Rfam family: Eukaryotic small subunit ribosomal RNA
Source: RNAcentral
CGGGUGCACUGAUCCAGCCGGGCCUUUCCCUCUGUGGAACCCCAUGGCCUUCACUGGCUGUGGUGGGGAAACAGGACUUUUACUUUGAAAAAAUUAGAGUGCUCCAGGCAGGCCUAUGCUCGAAUACAUUAGCAUGGAAUAAUAGAAUAGGACGUGUGGUUCUAUUUUGUUGGUUUCUAGGACCGCCGUAAUGAUUAAUAGGGACAGUCGGGGGCAUCAGUAUUCAAUUGUCAGAGGUGAAAUUCUUGGAUCUAUUGAGGACUAACUACUGCGAAAGCAUUUGCCAAGGAUGUUUUCAUUGAUAAGGAACGAAAGUUAGGGGAUCGAAGACGAUCAGAUACCGUCGUAGUCCUAACUAUAAACUAUGCCGACUAGGGAUCGGACGAUGUUAUUCUUUGACGCGUUCGGCACCUUUCGAGAAAUCAAAGUGCUUGGGCUCCAGGGGGAGUAUGGUCGCAAGGCUGAAACUUAAAGAAAUUGACGGAAGGGCACCACCAGGGGUGGAACCUGCGGCUUAAUUUGACUCAACACGGGGAAACUCACCAGGUCCAGACACAGUGAGGAUUGACAGAUUGAGAGCUCUUUCUUGAUUCUGUGGGUGGUGGUGCAUGGCCGUUCUUAGUUGGUGGAGUGAUUUGUCUGCUUAAUUGCGAUAACGAACGAGACCUUAACCUGCUAAAUAGCCCGUACUGCUUUGGCAGUUCGCCGGCUUCUUAGAGGGACUAUCGG